This 253-nucleotide ribosomal RNA is filed under the name uncultured bacterium. RNAcentral's name for it is "partial 16S ribosomal RNA". It matches the Rfam family "Bacterial small subunit ribosomal RNA", at positions 524 to 776 of the family's 1533-position model. The record is from RNAcentral.
UCCGUAGGGUGCGAGCGUUAAUCGGAAUUACUGGGCGUAAAGCGUGCGCAGGCGGUUUUGUAAGCCAGAUGUGAAAGCCCCGGGCUUAACCUGGGAAUGGCAUUUGGGACUGCAAGGCUUGAGUGCGGCAGAGGAGACUGGAAUUCCUGGUGUAGCAGUGAAAUGCGUAGAUAUCAGGAGGAAUACCGAUGGCGAAGGCAGGUCUCUGGGCUGACACUGACGCUCAUGCACGAAAGCGUGGGGAGCAAACAGG